AGAUUGAACGCUGGCGGCAUGCCUUACACAUGCAAGUCGAACGGCAGCACGGGAGCAAUCCUGGUGGCGAGUGGCGAACGGGUGAGUAAUAUAUCGGAACGUGCCCAGUAAUGGGGGAUAGCCCGGCGAAAGCCGGAUUAAUACCGCAUACGACCUAUGGGUGAAAGCGGGGGAUCGCAAGACCUCGCGUUAUUGGAGCGGCCGAUAUCAGAUUAGCUUGUUGGCGGGUAAAAGCCCACCAAGGCAACGAUCUGUAGCUGGUCUGAGAGGACGACCAGCCACACUGGGACUGAGACACGGCCCAGACUCCUACGGGAGCAGCAGUGGGAAUUUGGACAAUGGGCGCAAGCCUGAUCCAGCCAUGCCGCGU
This 370-nucleotide ribosomal RNA is filed under the name uncultured soil bacterium. RNAcentral describes it as "bacterial SSU rRNA". It matches the Rfam family "Bacterial small subunit ribosomal RNA", at positions 26 to 402 of the family's 1533-position model. The record is from RNAcentral.